GGAAUCUAGAACAUCGAGUCUUUCUGCUUUGGAACUUCUGAAAACUUCUGCUGCUGAUCGAUAUACAAAGGAGAGUAGCAGCAUCAUGGUUAUUGGACUUAACAUUCACACAGCACCAGUCGAAGUGCGGGAGAAAGUUUCUAUCCCAGAAGCACAAUGGCCUCAAGCAAUUCGCGAACUGUGUUCUUUGAAUCAUAUAGAGGAAGCUGCUGUAUUGAGUACUUGUAACAGAAUUGAAAUAUAUGUUCUGGCGCUUGCCCAAAAUCGUGGAAUUAAAGAAGUGACUGAGUGGAUGU
RNAcentral lists this unclassified non-coding RNA (296 nucleotides) under Hevea brasiliensis (rubber tree). Lineage: Eukaryota; Viridiplantae; Streptophyta; Magnoliopsida; Malpighiales; Euphorbiaceae. The record is from RNAcentral.